Molecule: ribosomal RNA, 1298 nt
Filed under: Staphylococcus pseudintermedius
Lineage: Bacteria; Bacillati; Bacillota; Bacilli; Caryophanales; Staphylococcaceae
Description: partial 23S ribosomal RNA
Rfam family: Bacterial large subunit ribosomal RNA
Source: RNAcentral
GAGAGGAACUUGUUCCUCGAGUCGUUGAUUUCACACUGCCGAGAAAAGCCUCUAGCUAGAAUAACGGUGCCCGUACCGCAAACCGACACAGGUAGUCAAGAUGAGAAUUCUAAGGUGAGCGAGCGAACUCUCGUUAAGGAACUCGGCAAAAUGACCCCGUAACUUCGGGAGAAGGGGUGCUCUUUGAGGUUCACGCUUCGAAGAGCCGCAGUGAAUAGGCCCAAGCGACUGUUUAUCAAAAACACAGGUCUCUGCUAAACCGUAAGGUGACGUAUAGGGGCUGACGCCUGCCCGGUGCUGGAAGGUUAAGAGGAGUGGUUAGCGCAAGCGAAGCUACGAAUCGAAGCCCCAGUAAACGGCGGCCGUAACUAUAACGGUCCUAAGGUAGCGAAAUUCCUUGUCGGGUAAGUUCCGACCCGCACGAAAGGCGUAACGAUUUGGGCACUGUCUCAACGAGAGACUCGGUGAAAUCAUAGUACCGGUGAAGAUGCCGGUUACCCGCGACAGGACGGAAAGACCCCGUGGAGCUUUACUGUAGCCUGAUAUUGAAAUUCGGUACAGUUUGUACAGGAUAGGUAGGAGCCUUAGAAGCGUGAGCGCUAGCUUACGUGGAGGCAUUGGUGGGAUACUACCCUAAUUGUAUUGGAUUUCUAACCCGCAGCACUUAUCGUGCUGGGAGACAGUGUCAGGCGGGCAGUUUGACUGGGGCGGUCGCCUCCUAAAGAGUAACGGAGGCGCUCAAAGGUUCCCUCAGAAUGGUUGGAAAUCAUUCAUAGAGUGUAAAGGCAUAAGGGAGCUUGACUGCGAGACCUACAAGUCGAGCAGGGUCGAAAGACGGACUUAGUGAUCCGGUGGUUCCGCAUGGAAGGGCCAUCGCUCAACGGAUAAAAGCUACCCCGGGGAUAACAGGCUUAUCUCCCCCAAGAGUUCACAUCGACGGGGAGGUUUGGCACCUCGAUGUCGGCUCAUCGCAUCCUGGGGCUGUAGUCGGUCCCAAGGGUUGGGCUGUUCGCCCAUUAAAGCGGUACGCGAGCUGGGUUCAGAACGUCGUGAGACAGUUCGGUCCCUAUCCGUCGUGGGCGUAGGAAAUUUGAGAGGAGCUGUCCUUAGUACGAGAGGACCGGGAUGGACAUACCUCUGGUGUACCAGUUGUCGUGCCAACGGCAUAGCUGGGUAGCUAUGUAUGGACGGGAUAAGUGCUGAAAGCAUCUAAGCAUGAAGCCCCCCUCGAGAUGAGAUUUCCCAACUUCGGUUAUAAGAUCCCUCAAAGAUGAUGAGGUGAAUAGGUUCGAGGUGGA